GACCAGUUUUAAAUCUCGUGUUGAGAGCCAGAAGAUGCUGGAGAAGGAAAGUGGUGGAAUAACUGCCUGAGAAUGAACCAUUCUCCAAUGAGAGGGGGCUUCGACAUUGAAAGGACAAUCUGGCCUUAACUUGGAAAUGCUGGAAAUUGACUGCACACAAUCUGUCCUGCUAGUGAGAGAAGCAAGGACUGCAUCUAAGUGCAACAUGAAGACUUUUGGUCCCAAGCUUUCCUCCAACUUCAGUGGGAGGCAGCCCAAAACCACCAUCGGCUCAAGGGUAAAGGGACCUGCAAUUCUUGGAAAGACUCUCCCAAUUCUUCUCCCAACAUGUGGUCAGCUCUUCCAGCAGGAUUAAGGAGGGAGGAGUUUCAGCUGUGCUUCUAAGAUCUUCCAGAAGGAAUUUUCUACCUCUAAAAUCAAGGACUUUCCUGGAAACUGCAGUCAGAGGACAGAACAUUAGCCUCAAGCUGGUGAAUAGGAUGGAUUUUCUCCCUAAACAUCCCUUCUGCUCUCUAGUUUGAAUUAUCAAUAAAAUGGUUUGGCUUAUCUCUGAAAA
Long non-coding RNA from Mandrillus leucophaeus (drill), 556 nucleotides. RefSeq lists it as uncharacterized. The record is from RefSeq and is a predicted model, not a curated record. NCBI's taxonomy places the organism in Eukaryota, Metazoa, Chordata, Mammalia, Primates, Cercopithecidae. The transcript has 3 exons.